Molecule: ribosomal RNA, 497 nt
Filed under: uncultured bacterium
Lineage: Bacteria
Description: partial 16S ribosomal RNA
Rfam family: Bacterial small subunit ribosomal RNA
Source: RNAcentral
GAUGAACGCUGGCGGCGUGCCUAAUACAUGCAAGUCGAGCGAACGGACGAGAAGCUUGCUUUUCUGAUGUUAGCGGCGGACGGGUGAGUAACACGUGUAUAACCUACCUAUAAGACUGGGAUAACUUCGGGAAACCGGAGCUAAUACCGGAUAAUAUUUUGAACCGCAUGGUUCAAAAGUGAGAGACGGUCUUGCUGUCACUUAUAGAUGGAUCCGCGCUGCAUUAGCUAGUUGGUAAGGUAACGGCUUACCAAGGCAACGAUGCAUAGCCGACCUGAGAGAGUGAUCGGCGGCACUAGAGGUGAGACACGGUCCAGACUCCUGAGGGAGGCAGCAGUAGGGAAUCUGACGCAAUGGGCGAAAGCCUGACGGAGCAACGCCGAGUGAGUGAUGAAGAUCUUCGGAUCGUAAAACUCUGUUAUUAGGGGAGAACAGAUGUGUAAGUAACUGUGCAGAUCUUGACGGUACCUAGUCAGAAAGCCACGGCUAACUACGUG